CUUCUUUCCACCAACUCCCUCAGUGCCUCUGUCUUCCCUCCAGGUCCAUCCAAAGUCCAGAGUCUGAACCAGGUCAUCAGCCCCCUGGGGCGUGUGGCUCAGAUUUUCCUUCCACACUUCUGCAGCGAUUCUCAUGGGGAGCAGACCUCUCCCUACGACAGGGGUCUCAAUGGCAAUGACUUUGCCUCUCAGGGAAUAUUUGGAAAUUUCCAGGGACUUUCAUGGUUGUCACAACUUUGGAGGUUAUGUGGCUGGCAUCCCGUGGGUGCUAAGCAUCCUACAGUGCAGAGGGCAGGUCCCCCAACAAAGAAUUCUCUAGCCCCAGAUGUCAUGGUGCCAAGGUUGGGAAACACCACCAAAAGAAUGGUCUGCCCUUCCCUGACCCCUGGAAUCCUGGUGGAUGAAGUUUCUUCUCCUUUUUGUAUGCAGAGAUGCAUUUGGAGAUGGACGCGGAGCCCAGUUCUGGCAGAUGAGCUGUACAGAGAAAUCUGUUGAGGAAGGCAUUCCACCCUAAUGACUGUAUGUUUCUCUUCCUGCUUUUGGACAUAGUUGUGUGCAGGCAUGAGCUUCCCUGGUAAAGAAUCCGUCUGCAAUACAAGAGACACGGGUUUGAUCCCUGGGUUAGGAAGAUCUCCUGGAGAAGGGAAUGGCAACUCACCCCAGUAUUCUUGCCUGGAGAACCCCAUGGAUGGAUGAGCCAGGCGGGCUACAAUCCAUGGGCUCACAAAAGUGUUGGACGUGACUUAACUAACUAAAUGACAACAACGACGUAUCCCAGGAUGAUGAUCAGAGAUGCCUUUUAAGCCUCUGCUAUCACCAUGAGAACAAUAGGCUCUGGGUACCCCUCUAGAUGGCAGCCCACUCCAGUGUUCUUGCCUGAAGAAUCCCAGGGACAGAGGAGCUUGGUGGGCUGCGGUCUAUGGGGUCACACAGAGUCGGACACGACUGAAGUGACUUAGCAGCAGCAGCAGCAGCCCUCUAGUCCCAGAGGAUAAAGACACAUGAAACAGAAAAACUCUAGAAGCGUGCAGACCUUCAGCUUGAAGUAAGAGUUGCUCAGUUAGAUGUGGACUCAGUCUAGCUGCCACACCUCAAGCAGAGCUGCUUCACUGGCCGUAGCCAGAUCUGCGAGGAAGGAAUGUGGUUCAAGCCACUGAGUUUGGGGAUAGCUUGUCAUGCAGCACUAUGUGGCAGCAGCUAACCCAUGUUACUCCCCCGUCUACUGCCAGCCGAGCUUCUGAACUUGAUGUCUCAGCCCAGAACCACCCUGAAAUGAAGGGGAAUAAAGAAAGUUCUUGAGAGAGGUGCCCUUGGAGU
Molecule: long non-coding RNA, 1317 nt
Organism: Bos indicus x Bos taurus (hybrid cattle)
Lineage: Eukaryota; Metazoa; Chordata; Mammalia; Artiodactyla; Bovidae
Source: Ensembl